CGGUGAGGUGAUAUGAACCGUUAUAACCGGCGAUUUCCGAAUGGGGAAACCCAGUGUGUUUCGACACACUAUCAUUAACUGAAUCCAUAGGUUAAUGAGGCGAACCGGGGGAACUGAAACAUCUAAGUACCCCGAGGAAAAGAAAUCAACCGAGAUUCCCCCAGUAGCGGCGAGCGAACGGGGAGGAGCCCAGAGCCUGAAUCAGUGUGUGUGUUAGUGGAAGCGUCUGGAAAGGCGCGCGAUACAGGGUGACAGCCCCGUACACAAAAAUGCACAUAUUGUGAGCUCGAUGAGUAGGGCGGGACACGUGGUAUCCUGUCUGAAUAUGGGGGGACCAUCCUCCAAGGCUAAAUACUCCUGACUGACCGAUAGUGAACCAGUACCGUGAGGGAAAGGCGAAAAGAACCCCGGCGAGGGGAGUGAAAAAGAACCUGAAACCGUGUACGUACAAGCAGUGGGAGCCUCUUAAUGGGGUGACUGCGUACCUUUUGUAUAAUGGGUCAGCGACUUAUAUUCUGUAGCAAGGUUAACCGAAUAGGGGAGCCGAAGGGAAACCGAGUCUUAACUGGGCGUUAAGUUGCAGGGUAUAGACCCGAAACCCGGUGAUCUAGCCAUGGGCAGGUUGAAGGUUGGGUAACACUAACUGGAGGACCGAACCGACUAAUGUUGAAAAAUUAGCGGAUGACUUGUGGCUGGGGGUGAAAGGCCAAUCAAACCGGGAGAUAGCUGGUUCUCCCCGAAAGCUAUUUAGGUAGCGCCUCGUGAAUUCAUCUCCGGGGGUAGAGCACUGUUUCGGCAAGGGGGUCAUCCCGACUUACCAACCCGAUGCAAACUGCGAAUACCGGAGAAUGUUAUCACGGGAGACACACGGCGGGUGCUAACGUCCGUCGUGAAGAGGGAAACAACCCAGACCGCCAGCUAAGGUCCCAAAGUCAUGGUUAAGUGGGAAACGAUGUGGGAAGGCCCAGACAGCCAGGAUGUUGGCUUAGAAGCAGCCAUCAUUUAAAGAAAGCGUAAUAGCUCACUGGUCGAGUCGGCCUGCGCGGAAGAUGUAACGGGGCUAAACCAUGCACCGAAGCUGCGGCAGCGACACUAUGUGUUGUUGGGUAGGGGAGCG
RNAcentral lists this ribosomal RNA (1117 nucleotides) under Escherichia coli. RNAcentral describes it as "partial 23S ribosomal RNA". It matches the Rfam family "Bacterial large subunit ribosomal RNA", at positions 79 to 1238 of the family's 2925-position model. Lineage: Bacteria; Pseudomonadati; Pseudomonadota; Gammaproteobacteria; Enterobacterales; Enterobacteriaceae. The record is from RNAcentral.